UCUAGAUUUGGGGGAGGGGUAUUUGGGACAAGACCCAUCUGUAGUAGUCUUAGAAAGAAUAUAUAAUCACUGCAUCAUAUCGUAAAAUAGAAGCCCGUUGACUGUGCUGCAGUCACAAAAUGACAGGUGUAGACAGACUGAGAAAGGAAAUUGUUCUAGGUCAGAGGUUUUCAAACAAGACACCACAUCCCCCAAACCUCAGGGGUGGCGUAGGGUGAGCAGGGUGGGGGUCCCCAAGAGAGAGGGGAGGGGACGGUUCGUCCAUCAUCGCAGGACACUGUCAUGACCCAGAUCCCACCCGCAGAGCAGCUCUGCGUAUGUUCUCUCUGUGGCUUUGGGUUGCCUGGUAAGAUUUAUUUGAACAGAAUGUUCUGUGGCUGAAAAAGUCUGAAAACCUCUAGUUGCCUCAAGUUUCUAUAUUUAGCCUGGAAACCUUCCAGACUGGGAGAUUUUUUUCCCCCUCAAAUUCCCUUUAAAUCCUCUAGUUUUAUGUUUAAUAAAUGUGCCUUAAUGAUAUCUGAUAUGUGAUGGGUAUGUAAUCAACAGGCAAUAAUACCACAGGCAUGGUAAGUGACCAAAUCUUAUAGAUUGUGCAAGAGUGCUCGAGACUAAAAGACCUAGAACUAUUCUGCAGAAGAUGCGAUGGGAGGUGGGAGGGGGGAAAUAAUUUAGGUAGGAGGAUAUCAAAAGCAACAACAAAAAUGUAAGCAGUUGGACAAUCUGACAUGAAUUCCACAUGGUAUCAUUUGAUGUUUCAUUUAAUAUUUGCUGAGUUCUCAGAAUUGCUAGAUUAUCUCUUAUAUCUAAUUCUCUUUGGCAGCUUAAACCAACAGAUUUUACAUCUAAACUCUUAAUAUUCACAGACCACUACUGUGAUGGUUUUUCUCACAAUAUCUGCAGGCUACCUGUACUAGUAAAUACUUUGUUUAAAUAGAUUCAUCUUGAAUUUAAAUAAAUUUAUUUUAAAAGAAAAGUUUGGGGGGCUUUGGUGGUUUGUUUUUGCCACAACCAGGACAGACGAAGUUCCCGGGCCAGGGAUAAAAUCUGAGCCACAACUGCGACCUACACCACAGCUAUGGCAUUGCUGGAUCCUUAACCCACUAUGCUGGGCAAUGGAUCAAACACAGUACCCUAAGCUGCUGCAGAGACAACGCAGUAUCCUUAACCUGCUGCACCACAGCGGGAACUCCUAAAAGUUUAUAUCGCUACCCGCAAAUAGAAGAUCAGAAACAUUUGCCAAAAACAGCAAGUAACUGGAACUGUAAAUUCAUAAUGAUGAAAAGAGUAAACACUUUUCUCUUUUACCUCCACAGAGCCCUUUUGGUUCUACCAGGGGUAUGACAUCACAGUCUGGGAAACACGUUUUAACCCAUUUUACUAUCGUACUCAGCCAAGAAAUUUUAAGCUAAGUGUAGCUCGUCUUUGUUCCCUCCCACCUCUUCUUACAGCCCCUCUGGUACCCACACACCCACAUCCCGACUGUCUUCUAAGCGCCUGCCUUGCUCUAAGCUAGCUGAGAACUAAUAGUUGCUAAUUAUUUAUCUUAUAAUUCUCCUAUUUUUGCACACUAUAACAGACUUCAUUUUCCAAAAUUCAAAUACAGAAGUCUACUGGAAUUUUAGACAUAAUGCAAGAAAACUGUAUCAUUUAAUUCAAGUCGCAUCUAUUAACCACCUGCUCAUAAACCAGCCCUCAUGCCCCACCCCAUAGGUUCUUAUUUAGAUUUCCCCAAAACAUGGAAAUUUGCCUAAGAUGUAUUAUAGUCUUUAGGACUUGACAGAUAUGGUCUUCUCAAACCGGAAUUGUAUUCGAGGAAAAGAAAUAUGGGUCAAUCACCUCAUUAGCAUAUACCUUAUUAUAAUCCCACCCAUAGCCAUAGUCUCCACCCCCACUUAGGAAAGAGGGAGGAGAAGCUGGUACAAGCACUGCGAACUGGGUUUCUAUCACUGAUGAUGACUAUCCUUGCAUUUUCUCCCUCUCACAUUCUAGAAUUCUUCCUCCUCUUGCUGCUCCUCGGGAAUUCCUCCUCCCACAGGACUCUGGGAGAGCUGCCUCAGACUGAGUUGCUGGGAAGCGGACUCUGAGAGGAGACUGUGGGCAGGAGCUGUGUUGGAGAAUGGACUGGGAGCCACCCCUGUGAGUGCCUGAGGGCGGCGAGGCUGGGCAGGACGAGAGGUUGAGCUGGGCUACAGUCACAGCAGAGGCCUUGGCCAGCCCCACAGGAGAUGGGCUGGCCCUUCAGAGCUGGCCCAACUGUGGCAAGAGGGCCGGGCCUCUGUACCCACCCCCUCACAUUGGCCAGUCAUUGGACACUCUAUGACCCAGGGGAGGGGUGAUAAUCUUGGGCAAGGCAGCCCUCUUUGGCCAAAGGCAAUUCUUGGGCAGGGAUCAAGCUGUCUGCCACCAGCAGGGAGAGCUCCUGGAAGCAGGGGAGGAAAUCCUGGAAGAAGAUGUGGGCCAGACAGCCCACCGCACGAAUAAACCCACUAGUGCCUUGCUCCCAGUGCCUCCCAGGUGGUGGCAACAUGGAGAAACCAUGGGGCCUGAUUUCCAGGCAGUUCCUCGGAGCGAUGAACCAGAGACCGGGUGGCUGAACGAGAAGGGAAAAGUUUAGGGGAGCUGGCACUUCCAGUGUCAAGCCCGAGAAGCCAGCGUGAAGAGGAGCCGCCCAGACCUUAAAUUUCCUCCUUGGUCUGCCUUCUCACCCAGAAGUCCGACCACACAGAUCCAGGAUUGCUUACUGGUUUUGUAUUAUCUGUGGAUCUGUGCCCCUCGAGUCCCCUUAAAAUGUCAGCAAAUCCCACAGAGACAAUCUGAAGCGAGACAAGGGUUAAGAAGAGUCUUCAUGAAGUGUUCCUUUUAGAAAUUCUGGCCAGCUUAACCCACAGGGAGCUCACCGAGCCUGGGCUCUUCUGAGUCUUCUGCGAAAAUGUUUUACCCAAACAGACUCUUCCCAUUAAACGGGAUCAAACCAAGUGGUCGUUUGCCAGUGUGCUGCCUACAUCGUUGACACCUUCCCUCUGAGCUGUGUGACACCAGCCCCUCCCUCCAGCGAGCAGGGCAGGAAAAAAGCUACAAAGCACUGACCGAAUGAAUCCUGCUGGGCAAGCGCCAGGCAACCAAGAGCACUGCAUUUUGGAUGCAAGGCUCUAGUUGGUGGGUGAGAACCCUGGAACCAGAAGUAGGCUGGGAAUGCAUGGAUAUUGGGAACUUCACCAGGAAUUCCUCAAGACUUUCUACACCAUGUAAGAGAUAUAUUUUAUGUGUGAUCCCGUACACAUACAGCUGCAAGUGGACACAGAUACUAACAUACAACAGAAACCAGCUCCUAGAACUCACCCUGCUAACUCUGCUUGCCAAGGAAUAUCCAUUUAAAAACCAUUUCUUGAAUGAACCAAGCAAAACCAAACCCUAGUGAGACAAUACAUUCACCAGGUGCAAUGCACUCUGAUAUUUUCUAUUCUAUUUCUAUUCUUCAUUUCUUAAAAAAGGUAACAAUUUGCAACCCACUAAAGUAAUGUUGCCACGGCUAAUAGAGGCCCCUGUUUUGGAAGGACCGUUAUGCACUGCCUGCCCCCUCUCUGAAGAUUACAGAAACUUGUCAUGUGGGAAGCCGGGGACUGGGGGCAUUGGAGGCAAGCAGGAUGACACUGGGAUAUAACCGGGUGGGGAGAGGAAGCCUGUUGGGUGAAGCCAUGGGGGAGCCACACUGCUGGCUAAGGGCCAAGGCGCUGCUCUCUGGCUGAGGGCUAUGUUCCAUCUCCCCUCUUCCAGUCCACACACUGCCACUGUCCCCACACAGGAAACUGUCUUCACACCCAGGAAGAGUUUGCAAAUGGAGUCAGGCUGGCAAUUGCUCCACUUAGGUAUCACUCGAAGGACCAGGAGUGGGGAAAUGAGGGUUGUUUAAGCUGCUGUGAAAAUCAUGGAGUAACCUGGUAAAUGAAAAAUCCACUCUGACCCACAAGAAGCACUAAAGUGAGGAAUUAAACAACUUUGUAAAUAAAGGGAUCAUUACUCUUGAAGCAUUAAUACACGCAUAAGACCUAUUGAAAACAUCCCAUUUCAAGAUAAAUGAAGAGCAUUAGCUGCUCAUUUCCCAACCUGGAUGGGCUGUUUUCACAGCCCAGCACUGGGGGUCUGAGGCCUGGGUCAGCAGGGGCUGGCUCAGGUGGCUUGCUAGUGGGGCUGCACAGGGACUCAGGAGGGGACCGUUUCUGCAUUUCUGCUACAGUGAAGGUUGUAAUCACAGCCCUGCUUUUCACUAAGGGGAGGUGCCCACUGCACACCUGAUGAAGUCGGGAGGAAAGUUCUAGACCAGUGCAUUUGCCUCCUCCAAGUUUCAUCAUCAUUCACCAAAUAAGCAUAAUUGCUCCGUGUUUAAGAGGUGCUGGGAACAGGGGCGCUGCCUGUAAUUGCCUAAUGGGCGGGCGAAAUGAGGUGUGAGGCACAUUGGUGUGAAAAAAGCAAUAGCCACAAGUUUAUUAACAUUGAAAAUUAAAAUAAGCUCAGCCCCAGCCAGGCAGUCCUUGCUGAAAUGAAUCCCAUUAUCCCUCUAAUAACUGCACAGGGCUCAAUUGGAUGCCCCCCAGGAGGUAGAGAGGCCUCAAUACGGGUCACCUCUCUGCCAGCUUCGGGAGUAGCAGAGGCUCUGGUUCACAGAUGACUAUCACAGAGGAAACACAAACAGCCCUGCCUCCCCUGCAGCUCCUCCAGCUCCACUUAAAUCCACGGGCAGGUGCUUGGGGAGCUGUGAAGGGGGAGCCUGGAGAGAAUUACAUGCAAUUCUGACCUGGGUGCCUUUUUGAAUAGUUGCUGAUUGGAAUUUUCAAAAGCAAGCUAUAAGGUUCUGGAACUGACUGUCACCAGGUCCAUGUGAAGGAGGUCAGGAGCCCUGACUGGGGCUCAGCAACCAGCCCUGCCUUCUUUUUUGCACCUUGAUCAUGUUAUCAAAUAUUUCUAGAUGCCCAGGGCUAGGAGGAGAGUUGCCCUUGACCUUGAGCAGAUUCAAUCAAUGUAGGAAACAAGGCUCUCCUGGGGAGAAUAAUCAGAAAGCAAUCAGUGAAUGCUGCAGCCCAGAGCCUAAUGAAAAUGCAUCCAGGUGGGGGUGCUGCCCAGGUAAAGGAAAGGCAGAGGGAACCGCAUGAACAGAAUCUUACAGAUGCGAGGCACUUGGAAGAAAGGAAGGAGGCCAACCAGGCGGAAGGCAAGCUCGGAGCUGGUAGAACUGGGUGGGUGGAGAGAGGGGCACAGGGAAAGCCUGGAGCCUGGAGUCCGGAUUGUAAUGCUGGAUUUAAAGGGAAUCCUUGUAGUUUUCCGAAAAGAGGAAUCAUGGGAUUCAAGAAUUUAAAUCACUCCAUGUUAAAUUCACUUUAUGUUUUAAAAAAUAUAUUCGGAUUUUAAAUUUU
This is an RNA transcript of Sus scrofa (pig), 5408 nucleotides long. RefSeq lists it as uncharacterized. Lineage: Eukaryota; Metazoa; Chordata; Mammalia; Artiodactyla; Suidae. The record is from RefSeq and is a predicted model, not a curated record.